GGUUUCCGAAGGUCUUGCAAGGUCAAGAAAUAUGCCCAAUGAGAUCACUGACUGGAAAAAGUGAUUUCAACCUGGGUGCUUGGGGCAAAACCAAUCUUGGAUGUGGUCCUUUUGACAUAUAUCAAGCACCAAGACCCAAUUUCUAUCCACUAGCAGCAGAAAGCAUGCAAAAUAUGUAUUUUCCUUAUGGUGAUUUGUAUAAAACUGGCCAAGAUCCUAGAAUGCGCUCUUACACUGCUAACUUCCCAAGAGAAAAUUUCCAAUUCGGUGCAUCUUCUAUUCAGACUGCUAGGGAUGAAGCUGGAAAGUCAAAUCAACUGAAUGACCACAAGUCACAGGAAACUAUUUCUGCUCCACCAGCUUUAGGUGUAAAUUUAAUGAAUCAAAAGGAUAACUCUUUUAAUGGGAC
Molecule: unclassified non-coding RNA, 409 nt
Filed under: Hevea brasiliensis (rubber tree)
Lineage: Eukaryota; Viridiplantae; Streptophyta; Magnoliopsida; Malpighiales; Euphorbiaceae
Source: RNAcentral